RNAcentral lists this unclassified non-coding RNA (241 nucleotides) under Hevea brasiliensis (rubber tree). The record is from RNAcentral. Lineage: Eukaryota; Viridiplantae; Streptophyta; Magnoliopsida; Malpighiales; Euphorbiaceae.
CGGGUAUUUCAGAUGCAUCCCCUCCUUCUCUAACCCAUGGAUGAGAUAGGGCCUGAGCAGCAGUAAGUCUGACCCGAGGAUCCUUCACCAGUAACUUCUUUACAAAAUCUUUAGCACUAUUACUUAUGCUUGGCCAUGGUUUGCGGCGAAAAUCAGGUUUAUUCCUCAAGACCUCCUUAAAUAUACCAUCCUCUGUCUUAUCCCAAAAUGGACGCCUCCCACAUAGCAAAAUGUAUGUAAU